Molecule: RNA transcript, 3977 nt
Organism: Chiloscyllium plagiosum (whitespotted bambooshark)
Lineage: Eukaryota; Metazoa; Chordata; Chondrichthyes; Orectolobiformes; Hemiscylliidae
Gene: nelfe
Gene name: negative elongation factor complex member E
Source: RefSeq, a predicted model, not a curated record
UGAUUUGCGUCCCUUUCUUUUUGACACAAAACAAAAAAAAUAAAAAAAAUAGCUUUUUAGAAAUACUGGAGCGAUCCAGAGGGAGAUAGAUUCUUUAUUCAUGGAAGUCUGUUUCAAAUGGUGGAACCGAACGUUUGACGUCAUCGGUGCGUCACUGGCGCGCGCCGUUGUUUUCAUUUUUUUUGGUCCCUUUUUGGCGCAACGUGGGAUAAAGAAGAAGAUUUGCUGGGGAUUAUUGCUUUAAAUCGGAGGAUUGUUGGGCGAAAGAGGGAAUAAUGACUCUGUUCCCGUCCGCUCUCAGUGAGGAGGAAGAGGCUCUGCAGAAGAAAUAUGCCAAACUCAAAAAGAAGAAAAAGGCAUUGAUGGCUUUGAAGAAGCAAAGUUCAGCAGCUCAGACAAACCAGGGUGGAAUUAAACGAUCUCUUUCUGAUCAACCCAUCAUUGACACUGCUACAGCAACAGAGCAGGCAAAAAUGCUGGUGAAAUCUGGAGCAAUCAGUGCCAUCAAGGCAGAAAACAAGAACUCUGGUUUUAAACGCUCACGAACUUUGGAAGGAAAGCUAAAGGAUCCGGAGAAGGGACCAACCCCUUCAUUCCAGCCUUUUCAACGAAGUGUCUCUGCUGAUGAUGACAACUUGGAGGUCUGUAAGCGUCCACAGAGGAAGACUCUUUAUGAAAGCUUUGUGAGCUCCAGUGAGCGUGAGAAAGAUCGAGAGGAGGAACGUGAAUCAGGAAAGGAGCUGGACCGCGACAGCUACAGGGACGUUGAGCGAGAUCUGGAUCGUGGAAGAGAUCGUGACAAAGGCCGCGACAGGGAUCGGGAUCGAGAUCGAGAUCGAGAUCGGGAUCGAGACCGGGAUAGAGACAGAGAUAGAGACAGAGAUAGAGACAGAGACCAAGACCGCGAGCGAGACAGGGACAGAGAUAGGGAUAGGGACCGAGACCGUGAUCGGGACCGUGAUCGGGAUAGAGAGCGUGACCGGGAUCGUGACCGUGAUCGGGAUCGCGACAGGGAUAGAGACCGAGACCGUGGCAGAGACAGGGACAGGGAUCGGGAUCGGGACCGGGACCGUGAUGGCUCUUAUCGAAGAUAUGACUCUUUCCGUGCACCCCGUAAAGGAAACACCAUCUAUGUGCAUGGCAUGGGGAUGACUGAGGAGAUGCUGAGAAGCUCCUUUUCCAAUUUUGGGACCAUUGUCAACCUGACCAUGGACAGCCCCAGGAACUGUGCAUUUGUCACCUUUGAGACAAUGGAGUCGGCAGAUCAGGCGAUUGCAGAGAUGGCAGCAUGGUUGGAGCUGUUUGCUUGAAGGUGAUGAUUGCUCGUAAACAGCUGAUGUUGGAAACAGCCACAGGGAAGUCAGUUUGGGGCAGUCUAGCGGUCCAGAACAGUGCCAAGGGUUCACACCGUGAUAAACGUAGCCAGGUGGUGUACAAUGAGGAUUUCCUGAGAUAACCUGGGAGAAGAAAGAAGAAGGGAGUGAAUGACUCCAAGCCAUACCUCUUGGCAGAAAGUGACUCACCUACGUCCCCUGUUUUUUGUAUGGCCCCAACUUUCACUAAUGUUAUGCAUAAGAAAUUUUAAGAGAGUCGCACUUAAUUAUAGCACAGAACUUGAGUAGUGUUGCUGAAAACCUAGAAAUGCUGUUGAAGAUUUUUGUCUUGCACUCAGGCAGGACAGUCACACAAGAAUGCCACAUUUCGAAGGAAAAACAUUUUAUGCUAAAUGAAUGAAAUGCUGAUUGGUUGUCCAGUAGACUCUGAAUGAUUGAAGCAUUGCUGUGGGGAAUGCACAAAGGAAUAAUUAUUCCCCAAUUAUUUAUUUAAAUUCCGUGAAGGAAGCCAAUUCUGAUUGGUCAAGGCAUUGCCAUGGGAAACCCUUAUGGGAAUUAUUGUUCCCCCAUACUUUAGUUUAAUGAAAAACAUGCAGAGCUUCACUUUUUUUGCUCUGUUUGCAGAGGAUAGGACCUCGGUCAUGAAGCUUCUAGAAAGUGCAAGAAAUUGUGAACUGAACUGAUAAUUUUAAGUUGCUUUUUAAUGUCGUUCUCAGUACAUUUAUGUUUGUUUAAAUAAGUAGCGUCCUACCAUGGAAUUGCAUCUAAUGUUGGGCAUUAUGUCCUGAGUUUUGUAAGCAUGGGAUGGUUAGUGUGGCCAGUACUCUACCUUUUGUAAAUAGCUGAAAGGACUUGCUGUUUGACACAAUCACCAGUGGUUGGGACAUCUGGCCAACAUAACCUGCAGUGUUCCAAAAAUGUAGCACAUGUCCUAACAACAAUGGAUUAUAUCAACUCUCAUUUAGCCUGCUCACAAAAGGCAGAAUACUGAUUAGAAUACUCAAUCAGCCUGUGCUGAGAUUAUUUAAGUCAGAUUUUCACUAUGACUCAUUAAUGCUUGCCUGAAGCUACAAAGAUUCAUGAACAGGGCCUUGUCUUAUGCAGACAAAAUAUAAUCCAGUCAGGCAUUGCAAUUUGAGUUAAAGCAUGACUGAUGAUGGUUCCCUGCUGCUUUCCAAUGUCAGUGCCUCAAAUAAUCAGAGUGACCUUGCUCUUAUUGAAUUUAAACAAAAGCUUAGAAGGAAACUAUUCCCUGGUGUGCUCUGAAUGGCUUCACUUCAAUCAGAGUACACCCUAUUCUCGUGCAGUUUAAAUUGUUGUUCCCUUUGAAAUGUGGCGUUCAUGUACACGUCCUAGUGAGUGGAAGAUGAAAAUGUUUAGCAGAGUAUGUCUUUCUCAGUAAAUACUCGGGUAGCAUAUGCUAAGAGUCAACCUUUGCAAGUCUCCAUGUUUCAAGAGUGGGCGUGGAAACUACCAUGCUCAUUCUUCAUCUGAUUGAGAACAGAAGAGUGCUGCCUAGUUUCUAAAUGCCCGAGCAGCUCCAAUUGGCCAAUCAGCUCUACUGUUACCCACUACAUUUCAGCUUUGAGGAGUACAGGAAAUAUAGAAGCACCAGUGUUCUGUAUGCUACCGAUCCCCUCUUUGUUCAUUGGGAGUUGGCCCUUUUCAAGAGCCUCUCAGCCUUUCCUGAUGAGUUUAAUAUUUCAGUCAUUAUCUCAUCUUUGAGAAUUCCAUUUCUGAGACACUGCCAGUGCCUCUUCUAUUGUUUGGUUUCUGUAAUCAAGCCCUAUCAUUAUGGAACCUGUCCUCAUAACUCAAUACCAAAGAGUUAAAUUGGUUGAGGGACCCCCUCCAGGACCAACAUAUCCCUCCUGUAAGUGUUCUAGUGUAGGUGGUACCUGUGCCAGGAGUGCGGGAACCGAUCAGCAUUAAUGCUUAUGAAUCCCACGAAAUAUGACUGGUCAGUAAAUAUAGCAGGGAGCACCGCAUGAUAGGUGUUGUGGUUUUAGAAGGUGAAUGGGUGAUCCGAUUGUCACUAUAUAAGCACAUGAGCAGGCUUUUACUCCUCAGGUAGUUUGAUUCCACCAUUCUUGUAGCUAGUCAUUUUGAGAAUUUAUGCUGCUUUGUGCGCAGAACUCAUUUUCUCACUGAAUUAGCAUACCAGUGUUUGGAAAGAGUGCUUUUUAGUGGGGAGAGGGAGCAUGAGAUGGUGAGACUAGUUCAGAUGCCCAGCUUGCAAACCAGAGUCCCAUCCUUAGCACAUGCUGCACUGGCUGUAUCACUGCGAUGUGAUCAGGGCUGAGAGGGGAGUUUUGUCUUUUGGAGGGUGAGGUUGGUCUGAUUGAACUUGAGGUGGGAGAAAUUGAGCCUAAUUUGGUGUGUUUCACAUCGCUCCUUCUAUCUCCAUCCCCUCCUGCCAUUCCUACGCCUACCCCAAACCAAAGGUAGCUGAUGUCCCAUCAAUUGCCCACUGAGCUUUCAGUCUGGAGGAAGAAUUAUAGGGGAUGUAAUGGGACCAAUGACCAACAAAAUGAAGUAAAUACUUGCAAAUCUGAAAUCCUGCUUGGAAUGCUUUAAGUUCCCCAAAAAUAUCCAAUUGUAAAUAUUGCACCAUUUGUUUUUAUUAAAAUAACUGUGUGAAUA